UACGAUUGUCGACUCACGAACUACUAGGGGAAAGCCGAGUGUUAUAGUGCCCCCUUUCGGCCGGGCGUCGUUCUCUACAUUGCAACGGGUCCAGUGUCGUCGUGGGAUGCUGUUGCGGCCAAGGUGUCUCGAGCACUAUACAAUUGCCUUGUUCGUCGGAGGGAAAUACUUCUCAAAACUAGUUGUUCCAGUAGCUUUCUUGUUACAGCAACUUCUGGGCUGGAAUGACAAUUGAGAGCAAAAUGCAGUAUAUCAAGGAAAGAGUUCUUCAAAAGCUCUGGAGGCCAAACUCCUGAUCUUUCAGAAAAGAUAAAAAAUUAUGCCAAUCAUCUAACGUACUGACUUUCCAAUCAGACUAAGGGAAAAGGGAAACCAAAGGAACAAUCAACAGAGAAAACAUAAAUUGGGGAAAAACCUCGCCCUGUUUUAUUCUUGGCAAACUAAGCAGCUCUUUUGAGUCUUUCAGCCAUGGACUCUCCAUCACCUUUCCAAUGACAAUUGGAAAAGAUAAAUCUCCAAGUGGCCUCAACAACUAAAAGAAUGCAAAUGACCAGCUGUCUGCAAGGAGUAUAAAUCCUUCCAUUCCUUACCAUCCAGUCAGAGCUGAAGAAGCUUCUUGGAUGAGAAACAAAAUGUCUUCAAAGAAAAAAAAGAAAGAAAGUCCAGUUGCCACUUGAAAAAGCACCUUUGGAUUUCCAAUGGAUUUGUGUGCCAGCCAUCACGUGUUUAGAUGAUUGCUAAUAUAGUUCCUGACGUUUUUAAAUAAAAGGGCAAGUACCCAGGAGUUAAACCAGAAACUCUUCAUGAAGUGAUGUAUCAUCAUAUCUACAACUAUUUGGGAAUACUAACAAAGAACAAUUCUACAUUCAAGUUCUACCAGAUGAACUACCUUACAAUCUGUUAUAUCAGCAGGAUUUGAGAGACAUGCCAAUAUAAGAGAUACACCGAAGAAUCAUCUAGAUACAUCAGCAGAACAACUAAGACAAAGAAGUGUUGUGGGCAGCAUGGAAAGGCUCAUAUGAUCUCAGGCUGUUUUAGUCCAUGAUUAUGGUUCAACUCAUGGAGCACUUUUUUAACCAAGCCAAGAACCAGUGCAAGGAUCUUUUUCACCCAUCAACUUCUGUGGCAUUUGAACUCCUCCAUUGGCAGGCACUCACAAGAGAAGUAAGGCUGGUCCUUAAGCACCUUGGAAAGCUCCAAAUGAGGGAUUUGUUGCUUGAAAAACUUGAAAUGCAUCAAGUCCUUUCAGCUGACACUUUCCAAAUUCCACUCCUUCUUUUCCUAACUCUAGGUCUGCUGGAGAAUUUUUUUUAUUUGUUUGUUUGAAGAAAUUUCUGAGAAAACAUUUGCUUCUAAGGAACCCAGCCUUACAUUGUGGCUCUCUGCAAUGCGCUGCUGCUUAGCAAUAGUACUAUUUCCAUUGCUUUGGAGGCUCUGAGAUAUUUUGAGUCAGAAUUCAAAGAGGUGAAGAGGCCUUACAAUGCCCCUAAUGUCAUCCUUUGCUCUUUUAGGUGUACACUUUCCACCUGGCCUGUGAUAUUCUCACCAGAUUUUUCCUUCCUUUCCCUGUGGAGUCACCCAGAAGGCUACAGAAGGGUAUCUUGUGGUUUCGACAACUAUGGUGGAGUAAAAGAUACUUGAUUCUUCAAGCAAACUAGGUUCCUUAUCUAUUUUUACUAAUAGAUAAGAAUUCAGAGUCAUUUGGCUUCAAGGAUCAUAUGUGCUUCAAUGAACAUAUCCAUUCCUAAAGGCAGCUUCAUGCAAUCCUACCCAAAUAAGAGUGAGUGAAGAUUCUGAUGCAUAUUCUAUAACUCUGAUAUGGCUCAAAAGAGUAAGAUCAUUUUCUUGCCAUGUAAUCACAGACAACACAAAAUUACGAGGAAAGAAAGAAAAGCACAGAAGAAACCCGUUUGUAGAACUAACAGAGCACGAUGGAAAGAACAGAUAUCAAUGAAAACAUCUUUUCAUAGGCCUUGGAUAACAUUGACUGAUUGCAGUCCAAAUAUAUGUCAGUAAAAUUUAUUGUGACUAUAAUCUGAAUAACACAUAAAACACUAGCUAAUUAACUACAGGCUUUUUAGAAAACAGACAUUUUUAUGUAAACCCAAACAGGAAUGUUUCUGGUUUGUUUAAACAACUUGUUACAAAACCUGCUACGAGUUAAUAUAAUGUUAUAAUAGUAUGUGGUAGGAAAUGGGAAGAAGGGCACAUUGCUUAAGUCUGAAAUAGAUAAAUUAAAUACUGGGUGGGUGGACAGCUGGAUGGAUAGACAGACAGACAGAGUCUUGCAUGCCACCUAGCCCAGUGCUGCCCAUUCAAAUAGAUAGCACCUCUCCACUUAACAUCAGUUCCAAAACUUGGAUCUCUUGGAUUGUCAGUUCCAGAGAUUCAACCUAGGACUUCCUGCGUGAAAAUUGUUACCACAGAAUGAUAAUAGUGCUUAAAUAAACAUGAGUUUGUUCAAGUGUACUAAAAAAAUUUAACUAAAGCCUAUACUAGACAACAGGAAAUAAGAAGGCUUAAAUAUAGUUUAUCUAUAAGUUUUGAAAGCUGUGGGAGUUGGUGAGUGGCAAUGAGAUUAUGACAUUUGUUCCAUCAGAAGUAAGGAGAUGAAAGGAGAGAAAAGGAAAGUAACUUUUUCAUGAAAUAACUAUAAAGAUGUAGCUUGUAAAUGCAAGAGGCCCAAUGUAAUUAAAACAAAGCAUUUUG
Molecule: non-coding RNA, 2709 nt
Organism: Notechis scutatus (mainland tiger snake)
Lineage: Eukaryota; Metazoa; Chordata; Lepidosauria; Squamata; Elapidae
Source: RefSeq, a predicted model, not a curated record